GGUUUAACCUGUGCGCAUGACAAUGAAUGUACAGUGCUUGUGGCACAUCCUUUUUGAAUUUCUGCUGAACGCCACUUUUGGAGCCCGACAUAACUGCAGCGCCAUCAUAACACUGUCCGACACACAUGUUUUUGUCAAUAUUACACUGUGAUUGUCGAGUCAAACUGUGGUUUUAAUUUUACUUUGGGGUUUAAGAAAAUACACUGAAAAAAAAGAAGAAAUUAACGGACAAAAAAUAGUGAUUUAAUUUUAAAUUGGGAGCGGAAGGACUCACCAGCUCAACUAAUGGUUGACGCAAAAAUAAGCUACGUCAUACACGCGACGCAGACACGAGCAGCAGGUGUUUUAAUUGAGCUUCAAGGAGGCACGAGAGAGAACAAGAGGACUGUUAGAAAACCACAGCAAACGGGUGUAAUAAAAACUCUUGUAUUGUACAUACUGAACAUCUUUGAAAUCUGGAGAGGCAGCCGGUUUUUUACCUAAAGGUUAAUGGCAAGAGAAAAUAGCGAGCUACUGUUUAACUGAAAAUAAAAAGGAAAGAAAAGUGAAAACGUA
Molecule: long non-coding RNA, 555 nt
Organism: Gadus morhua (Atlantic cod)
Lineage: Eukaryota; Metazoa; Chordata; Actinopteri; Gadiformes; Gadidae
Exons: 2
Source: RefSeq, a predicted model, not a curated record